RNAcentral lists this microRNA (17 nucleotides) under Corchorus olitorius. RNAcentral's name for it is "mmu-miR-153-". Lineage: Eukaryota; Viridiplantae; Streptophyta; Magnoliopsida; Malvales; Malvaceae. The record is from RNAcentral.
UUUGUGAAGUUGGAGCU